GAUGAACGCUAGCGGCAGGCCUAAUACAUGCAAGUCAAGGGGGUCCCGAGCAAUCGGGAUCACCGGCGGACGGGUGCGUAACGCGUACAGAACGUGCCUUUGGGCGGGGGAUAGCGGCGGGAAACUGCCGGUAAUACCCCAUUGUAUUGGAGGAUGGCAUCAUUUUUCAAUUAAAGUUACGGCGCCCAAAGAUCGCUGUGCGUCUGAUUAGCUAGUUGGCGGGGUAACGGCCCACCAAGGCGACGAUCAGUAGGGGGUGUGAGAGCAUGACCCCCCACACGGGUACUGAGACACGGACCCGACUCCUACGGGAGGCAGCAGUAAGGAAUAUUGGACAAUGGGCGGAAGCCUGAUCCAGCCAUGCCGCGUGAAGGAAGAAGGCGCUCAGCGUUGUAAACUUCUUUUGGACGGGAACAAAACUACUUCUGCGGGAGUAAUUGAGGGUACUGUCAGAAUAAGCACCGGCUAACUCCGUG
Molecule: ribosomal RNA, 476 nt
Filed under: uncultured organism
Description: bacterial SSU rRNA
Rfam family: Bacterial small subunit ribosomal RNA
Source: RNAcentral